GGAGAGGGAAAAGGAGAGGGAGUUGGCCGCACGCAGACAGAGCACCACAUCAGCGCUGGAGCUGGGGCCCAACAUGGACACGCCUGUGCAGGUGGAGGAAGAGGAGCGUUCCCAUGGCAACCUGCAGAGCAUUGGCCGCAUGCUGUCUCUCCCCAGCGACAGCUAUGUUCAGCCUCUCCGGUGCAUCCCGUAUCCUCCGAUUGGCCACGAGGCCUUCUCCGGAUACAACUACUCAGGCUCUGCAUCCUCCUUGGCCUCCAGCGGAGCCAGCUCCCUGCUGCAGGUGCCCGGAGCACUGCCCACCAUCAGCCACGCCUCACUGGGCUCGGGCCGCAGCAGCAGACCCAUCAUCUGCCUCAGCUCCUUCCAGAGCAUCGACCGCUGCCACAGACUCAGCCCUUCAGACAGCGUAGAGGGUCACAGGCUGAGCCCCGCCCACCGUGCACACCGCCUCAACUCUGCC
This 463-nucleotide long non-coding RNA is filed under the name Neogobius melanostomus (round goby). RNAcentral describes it as "lncRNA (ENSNMLG00000020150.1)". The record is from RNAcentral. Lineage: Eukaryota; Metazoa; Chordata; Actinopteri; Gobiiformes; Gobiidae.